ACCUUCGUGGUGUAGUGGUCAGCACGCUCGACGCGUAACCGAGAGGUCCGUGGUUCGAUUCCCGGCGAAGACG
This 73-nucleotide transfer RNA is filed under the name Stegodyphus mimosarum. It matches the Rfam family "tRNA". From Rfam's summary of the family: Transfer RNA (tRNA) molecules are approximately 80 nucleotides in length. Their secondary structure includes four short double-helical elements and three loops (D, anti-codon, and T loops). The record is from Rfam by way of RNAcentral. Lineage: Eukaryota; Metazoa; Arthropoda; Arachnida; Araneae; Eresidae.